This is a long non-coding RNA of Equus asinus (donkey), 2342 nucleotides long. The record is from Ensembl. Lineage: Eukaryota; Metazoa; Chordata; Mammalia; Perissodactyla; Equidae.
GACGGAGCGAGAGGCUGUGCGUGGCCGGCAGGAGAUGCCCGCGUCCAGAGGCCCGCUGUGCCGGCAGGGUCCCGGGGCGCAGGGGGUCGUGGCCGGGCCUGGGCUGGGUGGCGUGAGUGACCGUGCUGGGCUCGGCCAGGGCCGUGUGAACCGGCCUCCAGGCUCUGCUCCCGGCUCUUUGAAGCCCUUCCAGGUGGCCCGGCUCGGGACGCCCCGUGAGGACCUUCACAUUUCCAGUUCAUCCAGAUCCACCAGGCAAAGUCAAACUGUCCAGUUCCCCCGGGGCCUCUGGCCCAGCCGCCCAGGGAGGCCUCCGUGGGAAGGCGCCUCUGGACGAGUCUCUGAGCCCGACCGAGCUUCCUGCCUCCCGUGGGGCCAGGCCUCCCUCUCACGGUCUUCCCACUCGGGGCCACACAGAGGCUGCAGCUCCCAGGCCAGCCCUCACCCACCAAGUGGCCAGGGUGGGGACAGUGGCCGCGUCUGGCUAUGUAGGGGCCCAGCCACAGUAAGGUGGGUGGGACGGCAAAUGGUAGCAUUGGGGCUUCCAGGGACCGCAGCCUCUGGGUGGGAGAUGGCAAAGGGCAUGUCCAGGUGGAGAGGGAGGGGGCCUGGCGUGCGUGCGUGUGUGUGCAUGUGUGUGUGUGGCCGGGCUGGGGGUAUGGAGAGGUGACGGUGGGCUGACGCCCAGGGUGGGGUGGGCAGGCCCAGGGACGUGCCGCCUGCUUGGUGAGCCAAUGGCCAGAUGGGUGAGGUGUCAAGGGAGCAUGUUCCAGACGGCAAGUCCCUCACGUCCUUGGAAUUGAAGACCUUCACACUGGACCCCUCAUGAUGGGGAGGCUGAGACCCUGGAAGGAAGGUGGAAGCCCUGGCCACACUGCUGGGAGAGGACCCCUCGGCUCCCACACCCAGAGACCCCUUGAGGAGGGUCCUCGGGUCCCUCGUGAUGUAAUCAAGGGAUCGCAAGAUGCGAUCCUCUUGGAAUCUCCGCGUGGGCCCUAAAUCCAGGGACAGGUGUCCUUACAAGACACAGAAGAGGAGAGGACAUGGAGAUGAGGAGGAGCAGGUCGUGUGAAGACGAGGCAGAGACGGGAGUGGUGCGGCCGCCGCCAGGCUUCCCUGAUGGCUGGGACGUCUGUGGCCUGUGAGCUGGACAGUCUGGAAGCGAGCAUCUUCAGCAGCUGUGCCUGACCCCGGGCUCCAGAAGUUUCCCGAGUCUGCAGGAAUUGCCAGGAGACGCAGAGCAACCCCUUUAAUCAGGCUCCGUGAACUCUUUAACCCAAAGCUCUGUGUGUGGGCGCGUGGCCAUUUUCUUGGUCACUUAGAGGCAGGAUAAGGCCAGUGCCAACCCAGAGCCGAGAUGUGGUGACGGGGCCACAGCAUCUCUGUUUACAGGAAUCUCUGACCUGGGCUCCCCGAACAGCAGUCACUCCCUUCGGAGUCUCAAAUCAGUCGAUCCGUUAACGUGCGUGCUGACUGUUUGUUGAGCGCUUCCUGUGUCCCAGGCAUUGCACACCCAUUAUCAGACUUAGUCCUCACCACUUCCCCAUGGCAUGCCCGUGUACAGAUGAGGAAACUGAGGCUCAGAGAGGAAAGUCCUGACUCUUAGGGUUUAGAGUCCCUGGGCAAGAGGGCUUUGAGCUGGAGGUGGGGUUUGGACUGGGGACGUGGAGGUGAAGCCAUGGCAGGAGGGAACCAUGAGAGCGAUGUCCAGCAAUGGCAAACGUGAGGCCAAGGGGAUGGCCUAGGGUAGCCUCUGCCUCCAAGGCCAGGGGUGGGACACGUGGCCCACUGGGGGUCCCCUGGACUGAGGUCAUUGCACAGCUCUAGGAAGAGACAGGCAGGAUGUGCAAAUUAUUCUACCCAGACAAUUGUCUUCUAGGGGGAUGACCAGUGUUAGCCAUCCAUCCAUCUAUCCAUCAAAACUCCCUUCCUCCCCUCUCUCACUCCUUUCCUUCCUCUCCCUCUCCAUCUAUCCGUCCAUCUAUCAACCAUCCAUCCAUCUAUCCAUCAUCCAUCCAUCCAUCCAUCUACCCAUCCAGCCAUCAUCCACCCAUCCAUCCAUCCAUCAUCCAUCCAUCCAUCCAUCCAUCUACCCAUCCAUCCAUCAUCCAUCCAUCCAUCCAUCUACCCAUCCAUCCAUCCAUCCAUCACCCAUCCAUCCAUCCAUCCAGUCAUCAUCCAUCCAUCCAUCCAUCCAUCUACCCAUCCAUCCAGUCAUCAUCCAUCCAUCCAUCCAUCCAUCCAUCACCCAUCCAUCCAUCACCCAUCCAUCCAUCCAUCCAGUCAUCAUCCAUCCAUCCAUCAUCCAUCCAUCAUCCAUCCAUCCAUCCAUCCAUCCAUCC